GCAGAUGUCAUCACAUUCAUCACCCACGGAAUGCAACGGCGCAUUCCCAAUGCUGCUCAAGGGUGCAUAGAAUCUUAUCGAUUGGCCAAGACAUAGUUUAUACACUGGAUCUAAUCGUCUGGGGGAAGCCAUCGGUCCAGCAAACGUGAACUUGGCAUGCUGCAGGUAAUUUCUGUGUUUCUAAGCCAUUCUAUAAAGUUUGUCAGCAGCCAGUUGAUCUGAUCUUAUUAACUAUAAAACAAGAAUCCUUCUCAGACCCUCGUAAGAAUGGGUCCAAGCAAUCUGUAAAAGUUGAAGUCUGAACAAAAAUGCAUGUGAGGGAUAUGUAAAGGUUCAUAGUGGCUUGCACUCACCAUGAAGCGAACCUCAAUUUAUUUGGUGCAAAUGAGUUCCUAGUCCAGAUCAUGCAAGAUUGAUGUCUUAAUAGCUAUAUAUCCAUCUAGUUAAACUGGUCAACAAACCAUUUCAGAUGUCAUAAUCCUGCGACCAAAUCCAAAAAAAUGCUAAUGAAAAAAUACAUAGUUAGACAUAUCUGCAUAAUAGAUUUGUAAAGAGCAAGUAACCAAAAGAUUUUCGGCUGAACUUGCUUCUGUUUUCCUCUGACAAGAAGACAUAUGUCUGCUGUUAUAUUAAAGAAAAACUAGAACUAAAAGUUCAUCCAGGAGUAACCCUCAACAAAAAAGUUGAGAUAUGCAAAUGAUGGUUAUGUCUUAAUAUAAUCUAUAACUUCAUACCUAUGAAGCUCAGAUGUACAGAUACAGAUGCUGCUAAUCUUGCUAACUAGGAGAAUGUUGAAUUUGCUUCAAGCAUUGAACAACUUGCUUCAUUGUAGGCCUAGUGGAGAGGGUUUCAACAGUGCACCUGAGUGCCAAAU
RNAcentral lists this long non-coding RNA (874 nucleotides) under Citrus maxima (pomelo). RNAcentral's name for it is "long non-coding RNA (CMAX_LNC003178)". Lineage: Eukaryota; Viridiplantae; Streptophyta; Magnoliopsida; Sapindales; Rutaceae. The record is from RNAcentral.